GGCCCCUCUGCGCACCCCACGCAGGCACCAGGGGACUCCUGGGAGCUCUGACUGCGACGCCCCUCUGGCCUCUGCAUCCAGCCAAGCCCUCGCCAGGGCAGGAAAGGAACAGCUCAUGAACAGGGAUCACCUUUUAAUGCCCAAUGGAAAGAGGCACUGAACUGGGCGUCAGUGAACCACUGCUUCAGAAUCUUUCGAAAAGCUAUUCAAAGUGCAGAGCCCAGCUCCUCAGAAGCACAGGAGGAGGACAUCUGCAUUUCAAACCCAGCAAGGACUCUCAAAAUCAGACCACCCCAUUCUGGAAUCAGAUAGUGGGGAUGGUGGCACAAACUUGCUAGAAGGACGUUGCGGUUGAGCUGCCGAGAAGGAGAACUACCAUGUCCACUGCUCUGGCAAAACCUCAGAUGCGUGGCCUCCUGGCCAAACGUCU
Molecule: non-coding RNA, 430 nt
Organism: Odocoileus virginianus texanus
Lineage: Eukaryota; Metazoa; Chordata; Mammalia; Artiodactyla; Cervidae
Source: RefSeq, a predicted model, not a curated record